AUCAAAGUGGUUAUAUCAGAUGAGUAGGAGGGCGUGGCGGUCGUAUGGAAGCGUCGGUGCGAACCGGCGUGAAACGGCCGCUAGUGCAGAUCUUGGUGGUAGUAGCAAAUAUUCAAGUGAGAUCCUUGAAGGACGAAGCGGGGAAGGGUUCCACGCGAACAUUGAUUGAGCGUGGGUGAGUCGUUCCUAAGCCGAGUGGUCAUAGCUAAUUACCGGCGAAAGGGAAGCAGGUUGACAUUCCUGCACACGGAUGUGGAGGCGGUGACGCCGUAUUGAGGUGAUGACGUUGGCAGUGGCUCUGGGCAGAGUUUUCUUUUCUGUUUGACCGUCAAUGUGCGCUGUGUGGAAUCCGCUUGUCGGGAGAAACACGCGUGCACGGGCAGAGCGCCGGGGCUUUUCCGGCGUCCAGAUCGCCACUGACGACCCUUGAAAAAUCACCCGCUGAAUUUUUAAAAUUUCUUUUAAAAUACAAUCCACGCCGUGGCGUACCGAUCACCGCAUCAGGUCCCCAAGGUGAACAGCCUCUGUUCAAUAUGAAAAAUGCAGGUAAGGGAAGUCGGCAAAUUAGACCCGUAACUUUGGGAAAAGGGUUGGCUCUAGUGCUGCGUGGGAGUGGUUGUCGUAUUCUGGGUGCACCAGCUAGGCACUUUUCUGCGGACUCGAGUAUCAUUGUUUUUUUCCUCUACUUGUAUGAAAGAAAUGAUGGUUUCUUUUCUGUGGCAUUGAGCUCGGCAGGAGUAUCUGGGUGCGAUGACGCCCACAGCAUGCAGCAGACUAGAACUGCAACGGGCAAAGGGAA
This 799-nucleotide ribosomal RNA is filed under the name Campylaephora kondoi. RNAcentral describes it as "LSU rRNA". It matches the Rfam family "Eukaryotic large subunit ribosomal RNA", at positions 1359 to 2132 of the family's 3401-position model. Lineage: Eukaryota; Rhodophyta; Florideophyceae; Ceramiales; Ceramiaceae. The record is from RNAcentral.